This 490-nucleotide ribosomal RNA is filed under the name uncultured bacterium. Its description in RNAcentral is "partial 16S ribosomal RNA". It matches the Rfam family "Bacterial small subunit ribosomal RNA", at positions 30 to 507 of the family's 1533-position model. The record is from RNAcentral.
AUUGAACGCUGGCGGCAGGCCUAACACAUGCAAGUCGAACGGUAACAGGAAGAAGCUUGCUUCUUUGCUGACGAGUGGCGGACGGUUGAGUAAUGUCUGGGAAACUGCCUGAUGGAGGGGGAUAACUACUGGAAACGGUAGCUAAUACCGCAUAACGUCGCAAGACCAAAGAGGGGGACCUUCGGGCCUCUUGCCAUCGGAUGUGCCCAGAUGGGAUUAGCUAGUAGGUGGGGUAACGGCUCACCUAGGCGACGAUCCCUAGCUGGUCUGAGAGGAUGACCAGCCACACUGGAACUGAGACACGGUCCAGACUCCUACGGGAGGCAGCAGUGGGGAAUAUUGCACAAUGGGCGCAAGCCUGAUGCAGCCAUGCCGCGUGUAUGAAGAAGGCCUUCGGGUUGUAAAGUACUUUCAGCGGGGAGGAAGGGAGUAAAGUUAAUACCUUUGCUCAUUGACGUUACCCGCAGAAGAAGCACCGGCUAACUCCGUG